GCCUAACCUUUUUGUCAGCAAUUUGAUGGGUCGUCUGGACGGAUAGAAACAAUUCCAUUUUCCGGACAGCACCCUCCAACGCUAUCCGAUCUCUGGCUCGUGUUAAUCUAUUAACGAAGGCUUGGAACAAACUACUAUGAUAUGUCUUUAGCUUUCUGUACCUUACUUUUCUCUUUUUCUACUUCCUCCCUCCUCCCUUUUUUCUUUUUUUCGCUUCUUCUUACUAUUUUUUUAUCUGUUUUCAGAGGCCAAAGUUGCUUCCACUUUAUAUGUUUAGUUUAUUUUACUUAAUGAAUGAAAUAUGUAGCUCGCUACCUAUUUCUCAAAAAAGAAUCAUAUAUGUUUUGCGUAAACGGUACGAAUGAAAUAUGUAGCUCGCUAUCUAUUUCUCAAAAAAGAAUCAUGCAUGUUUCGCGUAAACCGUACCAAAAACAUAGCAUUACC
Molecule: long non-coding RNA, 444 nt
Filed under: Ananas comosus (pineapple)
Lineage: Eukaryota; Viridiplantae; Streptophyta; Magnoliopsida; Poales; Bromeliaceae
Description: long non-coding RNA (ACOM_LNC031894)
Source: RNAcentral